Molecule: ribosomal RNA, 400 nt
Filed under: uncultured bacterium
Lineage: Bacteria
Description: bacterial SSU rRNA
Rfam family: Bacterial small subunit ribosomal RNA
Source: RNAcentral
CUAAGAAUCUUCCGCAAUGGGCGAAAGCCUGACGGAGCGAUGCCGCGUGAUUGAAGAAGGUAGAGAUAUUGUAAAAAUCUUUUCCAGAUGAGGAAUAAGUGUGGGAGGGAAUGCCCGCAUGAUGACGUUAGUCUGGGAAUAAGCCCCGGCCAAUUACGUGCCAGCAGCCGCGGUAACACGUAAGGGGCGAGCGUUGUUCGGAAUUAUUGGGCGUAAAGCGCGCGCAGGCGGUUUUACAAGUCUGAUGUGAAAGACCUGGGCUUAACUCAGGGGACGCGUUGGAAACUGUGAGACUAGAAUCUUGGAGGGGGAGUUGGAAUUCCUAGUGUAGGGGUGAAAUCUGUUGAUAUUAGGAAGAACACCGGUGGCGAAGGCGAACUCCUGGCCGAAGAUUGACGCU